GGGGGAAAAGCUCAGUGGUAGAGCGCAUGCUUAGCAUGCACAAGGUCCUGGGUUUAAUCCCCAGUAUCUCCA
Molecule: transfer RNA, 72 nt
Filed under: Camelus bactrianus (Bactrian camel)
Lineage: Eukaryota; Metazoa; Chordata; Mammalia; Artiodactyla; Camelidae
Also listed under: 1 other name
Rfam family: tRNA
About the family: Transfer RNA (tRNA) molecules are approximately 80 nucleotides in length. Their secondary structure includes four short double-helical elements and three loops (D, anti-codon, and T loops).
Source: Rfam by way of RNAcentral